Molecule: small RNA, 345 nt
Filed under: Histoplasma capsulatum
Lineage: Eukaryota; Fungi; Ascomycota; Eurotiomycetes; Onygenales; Ajellomycetaceae
Also listed under: 1 other name
Description: hypothetical RNA
Source: RNAcentral
AGCCCCAGGAAUCCACAAGGGAAAUGAUUGACAAAGGGGCGAUUGCUACAGUGCCGUUACCUGUAACCAAUCGUUACCCCAAGUAUAGUAGAUUAGGGGUGAUCGAUCUCGAACUGAUAUGUCCAUUGCUUCGCAGCUAACCCUUCAUAUGCUCUUAACAUCAUCUAUCAAAUCUUUGAGGAGAGUGACAAUCUUGCGACCUGUAAGAAUGGCGUCGCAGAGUGGAACAUCAACCUUUACUUCGAAUCUAUAAAAGUUCUCGUUUACUAGUUCCCUAAUCAUCGGAAUCAUUCAUUCAUCCUUGUUUGCUUGCUUGCCAUUGCAGGCAACUAACCUUUUCAGCAU